GUGGCCAGCCUUCGUUGUGUUUUUGCUGGUGGCCAGCCUUCGUUGUGUUUUUGCUGGUGGCCAGCCUUCGUUGUGUUUUUGCUGGUGGCCAGCCUUUGUUGUGUUUUCGCUGGUGGCCAGCCUUUGUUGUGUUUUCGCUGGUUGCCAGUCUUUGUUGUGUUUUCGCUGGUGGCCAGCCUUUGUUGUGUUUUCGCUGGUGGCCAGCCUUUGUUGUGUUUUCGCUGGUGGCCAGCCUUUGUUGUGUUUUCGCUGGUGUCCAGCCUUUGUGUUUUCGCUGGUGGCCAGCCUUUGUUGUGUUUUCGCUGGUGGCCAUCCUUUGUUGUGUUUUCGCUCGUGGCCAGCCUUUGUGUUUUCGCUGGUGGCCAGCCUUCGCUGUGUUUUGGAAACAUAAACUAGUCACCAGCAUACCAAUAUAUGCUGGUUACCUGCAAAACCAGUAUCAAGUCACAUUAUGCAGGCCUUCAAAGUGAUGUCUGAUUCCUAUUGGAAUCCACCCUGACUGGGGAUAUCUGAAUAUUAUAACUUUUAUUCACCCACAAUCUGCAUUCACAAUGACUGC
This 559-nucleotide long non-coding RNA is filed under the name Salmo salar (Atlantic salmon). RNAcentral describes it as "lncRNA (ENSSSAG00000111979.1)". Lineage: Eukaryota; Metazoa; Chordata; Actinopteri; Salmoniformes; Salmonidae. The record is from RNAcentral.